RNAcentral lists this long non-coding RNA (880 nucleotides) under Mytilus galloprovincialis (Mediterranean mussel). Lineage: Eukaryota; Metazoa; Mollusca; Bivalvia; Mytilida; Mytilidae. The record is from RNAcentral.
AACAAUUAUAAGGUAACAAACAAAAGGUGUGACAUAAGCCAUAAAUAAGUUGAUAAACCCAAUAAAGAUUGUGAUGACAGUAAUUAAAAUCACAUAAAAGUUCAUGUCGUUGUUUUAUUAAAUAUUUUCAGAACAUUAAAUAAUUAUUUCCAUGUAUGCUUGAGUAUAUGCAGGGUAUAUCUUGAUAGUUCCCCCCUCAUAAUAAAUAAACAAAUAAACAUUUCUUGAAGUAUGCCCGACCCUUGCAUGCAUGAUUUCUUGGUAGUUUCAAAUAUUUUCAUAAAAUAUACUGAAUCAAACAUUUUCACGGACUAUUUUUAAAGGUUUGAUACCUUUUCAAAGUGGCUUAAAUUGGGCUUCAUGAUGUCAAGAAAUAUUAUGAUGACAAUUCAAUAAAUCUGAAUUUAUCUAUAGUUUAAUGAACAAUCUCUUAAACUAUAAAAUGAUUAUAUGUAAUUACAUAUAAAUAUUUCAAGAUCUCUUUCUUAAAUAUAGUGAUCAUUCGUGUCUUUUUGUCCCGUGACUCUGCAUGUCCUGUGACUCUCUGCCAACAUACGUUUAUCAUGUUUAGUAGCUAGGUCAAGAAUUUUAACCACCAUAGAAUAUAUUUUCCUGAAUUUAUAAGAUAUAUCUUACUAAUUAUGGAUCAGAAUUGAACAAUUUCAGUAAAAUCAUUGGCCAGAUCAUAGCCGAUGUUGGUCAGGUUUCACAACCGCAAGCUUUCAAGACGUUUUUUUUCUAUAUUUUUCUUAUAUGAUGUGCAAAAUGGUCUUAAUUGUCAUUAUUUCAAAUUUGAGAGGAAUAUUCUGACAAAUGUUAUGCAUAAUUAGCAUUUUUAUUUGGUCCUGUCAUUAAUUGUCGAGGAUUGUCCUGUUAUUGA